AAAAGUACCAAAGGCAAAGACCGCAAGGUCCGAGCCGGUAAAAACACAGAAUGCUCUAUAAUACGGGCAAAGUAUGUGUGGAACUAUUUGUUGAAACACUUUUUUUUAUGCUUCGGUUGCACCUUCCGCUUAACGGCGGAGGUGGUAAGUCAGCCAGAGGCAACUUUUAAACUAGUUGAUGAAAUGUCAUGCUGUCUGAUACUGUUUAGUAUUUGAGAAAUCGAAUAUAUAUUA
This 234-nucleotide unclassified non-coding RNA is filed under the name uncultured Orbiliales. Its description in RNAcentral is "sequence contains ITS1". Lineage: Eukaryota; Fungi; Ascomycota; Orbiliomycetes; Orbiliales. The record is from RNAcentral.